UUCCGGUUGAUCCCGCCGGAGGACAUUGCUAUUGGGAUUCGAUUUAGCCAUGCUAGUCGUACGAGUUCAGACUCGUAGCGAAUAGCUCAGUAACACGUGGCCAAACUACCCUUCGGACCACGAUACCCUCGGGAAACUGAGGUUAAUAGUGGAUCACACACUCAUACUGGAAUGUCGAGUGUGUCAAACGCUCCGGCGCCGAAGGAUGUGGCUGCGGCCGAUUAGGUAGACGGUGGGGUAACGGCCCACCGUGCCAAUAAUCGGUACGGGUCAUGAGAGUGAGAACCCGGAGACGGAAUCUGAGACAAGAUUCCGGGCCCUACGGGGCGCAGCAGGCGCGAAACCUUUACACUGCACGCCAGUGCGAUAAGGGGAUCCCAAGUGCGUAGGCAUAGAGCCUACGCUUUUGUUCACCCUAGGGAGGUGACCGAAUAAGGGCUGGGCAAGACCGGUGCCAGCCGCCGCGGUAAUACCGGCAGCCCGAGUGAUGGCCGAUCUUAUUGGGCCUAAAGCGUCCGUAGCUGGCCGCACAAGUCCAUCGGGAAAUCCACCCGCCCAACGGGUGGACGUCCGGUGGAAACUGUACGGCUUGGGACCGGAAGGCGCGACGGGUACGUCCGGGGUAGGAGUGAAAUCCCGUAAUCCUGGACGGACCGCCGAUGGCGAAAGCACGUCGCGAGAACGGAUCCGACAGUGAGGGACGAAAGCCAGGGUCUCGAACCGGAUUAGAUACCCGGGUAGUC
RNAcentral lists this ribosomal RNA (743 nucleotides) under uncultured archaeon. RNAcentral's name for it is "bacterial SSU rRNA". It matches the Rfam family "Archaeal small subunit ribosomal RNA", at positions 1 to 746 of the family's 1478-position model. The record is from RNAcentral.